GACGAACGCUGGCGGCGUGCUUAACACAUGCAAGUCGAACGGAAAGGCCCCUUUGGGGGUACUCGAGCGGCGAACGGGUGAGUAACAAGUGAGUAACCAGCCCUUGCCUUAGGGUUAACUUAAGGAAACUGACGCUAAUACCGGAUAGGAAUCCUUGCUGCCUGGUGGGGGUUGGAAAGAUUCGGCGGUUUUGGGUGGACUCGCGGCUUUUCCGCUUGCUGGUGGGGUUGGGGGUUACCAAGGCUUUGGUGGGUAGCCGGCCGGGGGGGGCGACCGGCCACCAUGGGACUGAGAUGAGGCCCAGGCUCCGACGGGGGGGAGGAGGGGGGAAGAUUGGACAAUGGGCGGGAGCCUGAUGCAGGAACGCCGGGGGCGGGAAUACGGGCUUCGGGUUGGAAACCGCCUUCAGCAGGUGAGAAGCUGGUGGUGACGGUACCUGCAGAAGAAGCACCGGCUAACUACGUG
Molecule: ribosomal RNA, 465 nt
Filed under: uncultured bacterium
Lineage: Bacteria
Description: partial 16S ribosomal RNA
Rfam family: Bacterial small subunit ribosomal RNA
Source: RNAcentral